UCCGGUUUGUCACCGGCAGUCUCACAUGAGUCCCCAACUUAAUGUGGCAACUAAUGGCAAGGGUUGCGCUCGUUGCGGGACUUAACCCAACAUCUCACGACACGAGCUGACGACAGCCAUGCAGCACCUGUGUCCAGGUUCCCUUUCGGGCACCCCUCCAUCUCUGGAGGGUUCCUGGCAUGUCAAGGGUAGGUAAGGUUUUUCGCGUUGCAUCGAAUUAAUCCACAUGCUCCACCGCUUGUGCAGGCCCCCGUCAAUUUCUUUGAGUUUUAACCUUGCGGCCGUACUCCCCAGGCGGAUAACUUAAUGCGUUAGCUGCGGCACGGAAGGAGUCGAUGACCUCCCACACCUAGCGCCCAUCGUUUACGGCGUGGACUAC
Molecule: unclassified non-coding RNA, 379 nt
Filed under: uncultured bacterium
Lineage: Bacteria
Description: contains 16S-23S intergenic spacer region
Source: RNAcentral